This 355-nucleotide ribosomal RNA is filed under the name uncultured bacterium. Its description in RNAcentral is "bacterial SSU rRNA". It matches the Rfam family "Bacterial small subunit ribosomal RNA", at positions 8 to 353 of the family's 1533-position model. The record is from RNAcentral.
AGAGUUUGAUCCUGGCUCAGGAUGAACGCUAGCUACAGGCUUAACACAUGCAAGUCGAGGGAAACGACAUCGAAAGCUUGCUUUUGAUGGGCGUCGACCGGCGUACGGGUGAGUAACGCGUAUCCAACCUACCCACCACUUGGGGAUAACCUUGCGAAAGUAAGACUAAUACCCAAUGAUGUCUCUAGAAGACAUCUGAAAGAGAUUAAAGAUUUAUCGGUGAUGGAUGGGGAUGCGUCUGAUUAGCUUGUUGGCGGGGUAACGGCCCACCAAGGCGACGAUCAGUAGGGGUUCUGAGAGGAAGGUCCCCCACAUUGGAACUGAGACACGGUCCAAACUCCUACGGGAGGCAGCA